Molecule: long non-coding RNA, 1553 nt
Organism: Equus caballus (horse)
Lineage: Eukaryota; Metazoa; Chordata; Mammalia; Perissodactyla; Equidae
Source: Ensembl
UUCUGUAUAUAUCUACUAAGUCCAUCUGGUCUAAUGUGUCCUUUAAGGCGAGUGUUUCCUUAUUGAUCUUCUGUUUGGAUGAUUUAUCCGUUGGUCUGCUAUGGUAUGAUUGGAUCUAUGAAGAGACCCAGGGAGACAGGAACAGAGGGAGGCCUCCAAACAACAGCCAGUGAGAAACUGAGACCCUCUGUCCAACAGUCCAUGAGGAACUGAAUCCUGUCAGCAACCACGUGAGUAACAGUGACUUUGGAAACGGAUUCUACCUCAGAUUGAGAGGAACUGUACUCAAGGAGCUGUACUUAUGGAAGUAUUCCUAAGAGGCCUCAGCAAAACCUGGAUCUGACUUAAAUAAUGAGGUUCUAGACAUUGAACUGAUACUGUAAUGUCUUACUCUUGGGUAGGGCAUCCCUAGGGAGAGGCCCAUAAAGGAAAGAACUUAAGGAAGCCUCACACUAACAACCAGCAAGGAACUGAGACCCUCUGUGCAACGUCCCUUGAAGAAGUGAAUCCUACCAACAACCAUGCCAAAGAGUGCCCCUUCUGGCUGCGUACCCACUUAUAUAACCCCUACACAGAAGUCAAUGGGUGUUCCAGGCAGCAGCAAAACAGAUGUGGCUGCUGGGGUGGGGUGGAAGACGAUGACCAGCAUACAGAUUGCUGUGCUUAUGUUCUGCGUCGACAUCUGAUAUGGCUAUUCUUGUCUGUGUUUACAUGUCCCAUUCAUCUGGUUCAACCAGACAGAGUUUUACUAAUAUUAUUGAUGGUUGCCAUAACAACAAGCAUGUGAAUAUACUUUAGCUAAGAAAUUGUGACAAGUAUUUGGUUGAUCACAGUCCGUAAAUUGCAUAGAGGGAUGAUCUCCAGGGGUGAAGGGGGAUGGAAUAGGACAUCACCAGAUGGACACUUGCUUUGAUCUCAUUGAGGAAAUUUACAUAGUGAUUUCUCCUGAAAAAGUUCCUUUCCAGGGGCUUCCUCUGGAAAUUUGGAGCUGUUUGAUCCUUGGAGAAUAGCCAGUAACUCAACCAAAGACUCUUCUUAGACCAUAAAUAGCAUUCUGAGUUUGCAUCCUCCAUUUCCAUCACUCUCCCUCUCCUGAUCUUCUCAGUCUCUUCAGUAUUCAAGAAACUAAUGGAACAAAGUCAAAUACUAGAAAUUGGGAAGGCUUGUGACAUGUGUCCCAAGAAAAAGAUACGAUGAAGUCCAAACCCCUGGUACCUGUGAAUGUGACCUUAUCUGGAAAUAAGAUCUUUUCAGAUACAAUCAAGUUAAGAUGAGAUCACACUGAAUUAGAGUGGGCCCUAAUCUAAUGACUAGGGUCCUUAUAAGAAGAUGAAAUUUGAACACAAAGAGACACAAGAACAACAUAUGAUGACAAACACAGAGAUUAGAGUGAUGCAUCUGCAAGCCCAGGAAUGCCAAGAAUUACUGGCAAUCACCAGAAGCUAAGAGAAAGGCGUGGAACAGGCUCUCCCUCAGACGGAACCUCUCUGACACCUUGUUUGUGGAAUUUUGGCCUCCAAAACUGUGAGAUAAUAAAUUUCUGUUAUAUUAAA